UACGUAGGGUGCAAGCGUUGUCCGGAAUUAUUGGGCGUAAAGCGCGUGUAGGUGGUUAACUAAGUCGGGUGUGAAAUCCCUAGGCUCAACCAAGGAAGUGCAUUCGAAACUAGUUAACUAGAAGAUGGUAGAGGAAGGUGGAAUUCCAGGUGUAGAGGUGAAAUUCGUAGAUAUCUGGAGGAAUACCGGUGGCGAAGGCGGCCUUCUGGACCAUCCUUGACACUAAGACGCGAAAGCGUGGGUAGCAAACAGG
This 253-nucleotide ribosomal RNA is filed under the name uncultured bacterium. RNAcentral's name for it is "partial 16S ribosomal RNA". It matches the Rfam family "Bacterial small subunit ribosomal RNA", at positions 524 to 776 of the family's 1533-position model. The record is from RNAcentral.